Molecule: transfer RNA, 73 nt
Filed under: Camelus dromedarius (Arabian camel)
Lineage: Eukaryota; Metazoa; Chordata; Mammalia; Artiodactyla; Camelidae
Also listed under: 1 other name
Rfam family: tRNA
About the family: Transfer RNA (tRNA) molecules are approximately 80 nucleotides in length. Their secondary structure includes four short double-helical elements and three loops (D, anti-codon, and T loops).
Source: Rfam by way of RNAcentral
CAAGGUGUAGCUCAAGUGGUAGAGCACAUGCUUAGCAUGCACAAGGUCCUGGGUUCAAUCCCCAGCGCCUCCA